Molecule: ribosomal RNA, 332 nt
Filed under: uncultured bacterium
Lineage: Bacteria
Description: bacterial SSU rRNA
Rfam family: Bacterial small subunit ribosomal RNA
Source: RNAcentral
CGUGUAGGCGGUCGGGCAAGUCAGAUGUGAAAGCCUUCCGCUCAACGGAAGAAGUGCAUUUGAAACUACCCGGCUGGAGUACGGGAGAGGAGAGUGGAAUUCCCGGUGUAGAGGUGAAAUUCGUAGAUAUCGGGAGGAACACCGGUGGCGAAGGCGGCUCUCUGGUCCGAUACUGACGCUGAGACGCGAAAGCGUGGGGAGCAAACAGGAUUAGAUACCCUGGUAGUCCACGCCGCAAACGAUGGGCACUAGGUGUAGGAGGUAUUGACCCCUUCUGUGCCGAAGCUAACGCAUUAAGUGCCCCGCCUGGGGAGUACGGCCGCAAGGCUAAA